Molecule: ribosomal RNA, 253 nt
Filed under: uncultured bacterium
Lineage: Bacteria
Description: partial 16S ribosomal RNA
Rfam family: Bacterial small subunit ribosomal RNA
Source: RNAcentral
UACGUAGGGGGCAAGCGUUGUCCGGAUUUAUUGGGCGUAAAGAGCGUGUAGGCGGCUAGGUAGGUGGGUUGUGAAAACUGGAGGCUCAACCUUCAGACGUCGACCCAAACCCCCUGGCUAGAGUCCGGAAGAGGAGAGUGGGAUUCCUGGUGUAGCGGUGAAAUGCGCAGAUAUCAGGAAGAACACCCGUGGCGAAAGCGGCUCUCUGGAACGGUACUGACGCUGAGACGCGAAAGCGUGGGGAGCGAACAGG